AAUAGAAUAUGUUUACCAAAGAUGGUAGGCCUAGUAGUAUUUUGUGUCCUGGAUGCUUUUAGUAGCCUACCCUUUGGGACCUCCCUUACUGAGCAUACUAAAAGAAAGCAUCGCGCACAACCUAACCAAUCGAAUUCGUCUAUUUCUCGACGGAGCCUUCUUCCCUACUGCCCUUGUGAAAAACCCUCCUCCAGGUGUCAGAAAAUGACAUAUCCAGAUUGAUAAAAUUGCGUGCAACGAAUGACGCCAUCUUCACUGGGAAGAGAAACUCUGCCAUGCCUGCCUGGAGAGCGAUGUUAGUGGAGUUGGGUCUCGAAGGAAAGCCUACAACUGGGCAAUUGAAAAGAAGUGGGAAAACCUUAAAAAGAAAUAUAAGGUAAUGAUUAUGAAUGCAAUUGAGAACAGGAAACAAACACCCUUGGCCUUAACUCAAGAUGUAUUAUCUUCUAUUUGAAUUACGCUUGAACACAGAUUCUAGGCUUUGGUUCCAGCCCAGU
Molecule: non-coding RNA, 497 nt
Organism: Salmo salar (Atlantic salmon)
Lineage: Eukaryota; Metazoa; Chordata; Actinopteri; Salmoniformes; Salmonidae
Source: RefSeq, a predicted model, not a curated record